RNAcentral lists this ribosomal RNA (440 nucleotides) under uncultured bacterium. RNAcentral describes it as "partial 16S ribosomal RNA". It matches the Rfam family "Bacterial small subunit ribosomal RNA", at positions 338 to 795 of the family's 1533-position model. The record is from RNAcentral.
CCUACGGGACGCAGCAGUGGGGAAUAUUGCACAAUGGGGGAAACCCUGAUGCAGCGACGCCGCGUGAGUGAAGAAGUAUUUCGGUAUGUAAAGCACUAUCAGCAGGGAAGAAAAUGACGGUACCUGAUUAAGAAGCCCCGGCUAACUACGUGCCAGCAGCCGCGGUAAUACGUAGGGGGCAAGCGUUAUCCGGAUUGACGGGGAGUAAAGGGAGCGUAGACGGUGAUGCAAGUCAGACGUGAAAGACCGGGGAUCAAAUCCGGGACUGCUUUUGAAACUGUGUGACUGGAGUGCAGGAGAGGUAAGCGGAAUUCCUGGUGUAGCGGUGAAAUGCGUAGAUAUCAGGAGGAACACCAGUGGCGAAGGCGGCUUACUGGACUGUAACUGACGUUGAGGCUCGAAGGUGCGGGUGUCAAACAGGAUUAGAUACCCUUGUAGUC